UGAUGACAAAUCUCCGGAAUCUCUGUACUACUUUGAUGAAAAUCUUUUGAACCUUUUAUCUGAUGACUGCCUGUUUAUGUCAAC
Small nucleolar RNA from Gadus morhua (Atlantic cod), 84 nucleotides. Ensembl annotates it as small nucleolar RNA MBII-202. NCBI's taxonomy places the organism in Eukaryota, Metazoa, Chordata, Actinopteri, Gadiformes, Gadidae. The record is from Ensembl.